GUAGGUGCCGCAUUAGGAACUGCUGGUGGUCUCCGCCUCUUGUCGGAGAUGCGGUGUGGAGCUGAGUGCGUCCCCUGGUCAGAGUUGCGUCCGGACGCUUUACGAGGCCUCCGCUCCCCCGCUUGUGGUGCGCAGGCUGGCCGGAGGUUGCCCCCCCAGGUGUAUCUCUUUAGGUUGAGCAGCGGUGGGCCCUGCGUGUGGGUCCUUCGCCUUCGUCGAGGCCCAGGUGGGUGGCGUCUGAUGCGUGGUCUGCAGCCUAAGGGUCGGGGGGUAGCCCUCGCUCUGCUCUCCCGCUUUUUCUCGUUUAGUGGCUCCGUGGUGCUUUUCAGAGC
Molecule: non-coding RNA, 332 nt
Organism: Pelobates cultripes (western spadefoot toad)
Lineage: Eukaryota; Metazoa; Chordata; Amphibia; Anura; Pelobatidae
Source: the annotation of a GenBank genome assembly